RNAcentral lists this ribosomal RNA (485 nucleotides) under Rhinotiodes spinipennis. RNAcentral describes it as "eukaryotic LSU rRNA". The record is from RNAcentral. Lineage: Eukaryota; Metazoa; Arthropoda; Insecta; Coleoptera; Belidae.
GAGUUCAAGAGUACUUGAAACCGUUCAGGGGUAAACCUGAGAAACCCGAAAGGUCGAAAGGGGAAAUUCAUUCGCGUUUCGGCCGCUGGCGGAAGAUGAUCGUGUGACGGACGUCGUUCGCGUCGUCCGCGCCUUUCGUUUUUCGAACCGGCGUCGAACGCGUGCACUUUUCCCCUAGUAGGACGUCGCGAUCCGUUGGGUGUCGGUCUACGGCUCACGGUGGAGCCCGUGCGUACGGUUCGCCGUUUUACGUGCGGACCCGUGGUGUCCCGGCCGACUCGCUCGACGGUAUACGGAUGGCGCGAGGCCGCUAUCUUAUCAGUUAGCGUCCGACCCGCGGCAAGCGCGCCCGACGUGUCGGUGAUCGGACCUGGUGCCGGUCCCGGCCUCUGGUGACUGUUGGCCGUAGUGUUCUCGGACAGACCUCGAUCUAAACGCCGAUCUGCGACGCUAUAGCUUUGGGUACUUUCAGGACCCGUCUUGAA